This 835-nucleotide ribosomal RNA is filed under the name uncultured marine bacterium. Its description in RNAcentral is "bacterial SSU rRNA". It matches the Rfam family "Bacterial small subunit ribosomal RNA", at positions 54 to 865 of the family's 1533-position model. The record is from RNAcentral.
CAUGCAAGUCGAACGAGAAAGCUUUCUUCGGAAAGUGAGUACAGUGGCGGAAGGGUGAGUAAUACCUAGAUAAUCUACCCCUAAGGUCGGGAUAACAGUUGGAAACGACUGCUAAUACCGGAUGUGGCCAUCGAGACCUCGGUUUUGAUGGUUAAAGGUGGGGACCCCUCGGGGCCUACCGCUUAGGGAGGAGUUUAGGCACUACCAGCUUGUUGGUGGGGUAAAGGCCUACCAAGGCUAUGACGGUUAGCCGGCCUGAGAGGGUGUUCGGCCACACUGGGACUGAGACACUGCCCAGACUCCUACGGGAGGCUGCAGUCGAGAAUCUUCGGCAAUGGGCGAAAGCCUGACCGAGCGACGCCGCGUGGAGGAUGAAGGCCUUCGGGUUGUAAACUCCUGUCACGUAGUGAGAAAACCAAGGUCUUAAUAUGGCCUUGCUUGACAAGCUAUGGGAGGAAGCCACGGCUAACUCUGUGCCAGCAGCCGCGGUAAUUCAGAGGUGGCAAGCGUUGUUCGGAAUCACUGGGCAUAAAGGGGGUGUAGGCGGCGCUAUAAGUCAGGUGUGAAAUCCCUCGGCUCACCCGAGGAACUGCGCCUGAAACUGUAGUGCUUGAGUGUAGGAGGGGAGAGUGGAACUUCUGGUGGAGCGGUGAAAUGCGUAGAGAUCAGAAGGAACGCCGGUGGCGAAAGCGACUCUCUGGCCUACUACUGACGCUGAGGCCCGAAAGCUAGGGGAGCAAACAGGAUUAGAUACCCUGGUAGUCCUAGCCGUAAACGAUGGGCACUAAGUAGAGGGGAUUCCGAUAUUCUCUCUGCCGGAGCUAAUGCAUUAAGU